RNAcentral lists this ribosomal RNA (725 nucleotides) under Gammarus lacustris. Its description in RNAcentral is "bacterial SSU rRNA". It matches the Rfam family "Eukaryotic small subunit ribosomal RNA", at positions 1255 to 1828 of the family's 1831-position model. Lineage: Eukaryota; Metazoa; Arthropoda; Malacostraca; Amphipoda; Gammaridae. The record is from RNAcentral.
CUCUUUCUCGAUUCAGUGGAUGGUGGUGCAUGGCCGUUCUUAGUUGGUGGAGUGAUCUGUCUGGUUAAUUCCGAUAACGAACGAGACUCUCCCCUGCUAACUAGUCGGUUGGAUCUUGAUCAGCGGGUUGCGUGCCGAGUAACUCUCGCUGUGCGUGGUGCGUCUCGGGCCUCACGGUUCGUUGCGUGCUCGUGUGGCGUUGGAUGCCUUGGAUCACACUGCACCCCAAGUCCGCCGCUCAUGCUAUAACUCUUCUUAGAGGGAUUCACGGCACUGAAGCCGUAAGAGACUGAGAGCAAUAACAGGUCUGUGAUGCCCUUAGAUGCUCUGGGCCGCACGCGCGCUACAAUGCCGGGCACAGCAGGUGUUUCUCCUGCUCCGACAGGAGCGGGUAACCCUCUGAAAGCCAGUGUUCUUGCAAGUGCUUCCUCCCUCGUGGAGUUGCACAGAGGCGUGCUUGGGCCUGGGACUUGCAAUUCUUUCCCACCAACGAGGAAUGCCUAGUAGCGGCGGGUCACUGAGCCCGCCGUGACUCAGUCCCUGCCCUUUGUACACACCGCCCGUCGCUACUACCGAUUGGGUGUACCAGUGAGAGCCUUGGACUGGCGUCCGUUGUUGCUCGCAAGAGUGACAAGCGGGUCCGACGGAAAGAGGUCCGAACUGGUGCACUUAGAGGAAGUAAAAGUCGUAACAAGGUUUCCGUAGGUGAACCUGCGGAAGGAUCA